Molecule: ribosomal RNA, 827 nt
Filed under: Sipunculus nudus (marine worm)
Lineage: Eukaryota; Metazoa; Annelida; Sipuncula; Golfingiida; Sipunculidae
Description: 12S ribosomal RNA
Source: RNAcentral
CUUAAGUUUGGCUCUGGCUCCAAAAGUUACUACCUCGCUUUCACCCUGCAUGCAAGCCCCUACACCCCCGCACACACUUGCAAUAAAAUAAAAAAGCUCAACGCCCAACCUAUUUUACCUCUUUCUUAUCAACCUAGAAUAAAGACACCCCAAACUAUGCGCCCGCAGCAAAUAAUAUUGUGCCCGAUACGACAGUAUGCCCCAGAAAACGAACAAAAUAUUGGAGAAGUCUGUGCCAGCAGCCGCGGUUACACAGACCAAUAUGAGUAAAUAACCUUAUUUAUGGGCCUCAGAGUAAAAACGCUUUUACAAGGCGUCCAACCCGCACCAAAUCUACCUUCCCCUAACACCCGCUUCCAUCCCCAUGAAAACUAAGAUAAAAACAAGGAUUAGAUACCCUUUUAUUCUUAGUUGUAAAUUUUGGGCAGUACGAACGUAAGUUUAAAACCCAAAGAGCUUGGCGGUGCUUCACCGCUCUAGGGGAGCCUGUUACUUAAUUCGAUAAUCCGCGAUAAACCCCACCUAACCUAGACAUCCUGCAGCCUGUGUAUUGCCGUCGCAAGCUUACCUCCCAAAAGCCUGUAAGCCAAAAAACCAUUCCCGUUUCCACGUCAGGUAAAAUGCAGCCCAUGGUCAGGAGUUAAUAGGCUACAAUUUCAAAAGUCAUUAGACUGCGACUGAAAUCCCUCACGAAACUGGACUUAGCAGUAACUUUUAUUCACAACAUAAAAGCGAAACCCGCCAUCUGAAGCGUGCACACAUCGCCCGUCACUCUCGCUGAGAAGUGAGAUAAGUCGUAACAUAGUAGGCGACCGGAAGGUGCGCCU